AGGCCUGAGGCGCGCCUUGCCGCGUGUAUGAAGAAGGCCUUCGGGUUGUAAAGUACUUUCAGCGAGGAGGAAGGCGUUGUGGUUAAUAACCGCAACGAUUGACGUUACUCGCAGAAGAAGCACCGGCUAACUCCGUGCCAGCAGCCGCGGUAAUACGGAGGGUGCAAGCGUUAAUCGGAAUUACUGGGCGUAAAGCGCACGCAGGCGGUCUGUCAAGUCGGAUGUGAAAUCCCCGGGCUCAACCUGGGAACUGCAUCCGAAACUGGCAGGCUAGAGUCUUGUAGAGGGGGGUAGAAUUCCAGGUGUAGCGGUGAAAUGCGUAGAGAUCUGGAGGAAUACCGGUGGCGAAGGCGGCCCCCUGGACAAAGACUGACGCUCAGGUGCGAAAGCGUGGGGAGCAAACA
RNAcentral lists this ribosomal RNA (404 nucleotides) under uncultured bacterium. RNAcentral describes it as "partial 16S ribosomal RNA". It matches the Rfam family "Bacterial small subunit ribosomal RNA", at positions 379 to 774 of the family's 1533-position model. The record is from RNAcentral.